UUGGCCAGUGUAAGCUAGCUGUCCUGGUUCUGUCCCUUCUGAGCUCCUCAUGCUCCCCAGGUCCCCAUGCUGGCAGAACAGUACUAGAAGCUGAAAAACUGAAAUAUCCUUGUCUCUCUACAGCACUGCUCAGCAACAACUAAAAUAUCAAUGUGUUAGCAAUGUUGUUUUUCUCCUAAAGCCAAAACAUAGCAUCAAACCAUAUGCUAUGAAGACCAACUCUGUCCCAGCUGAAACCAGGACAAGAGCCAAGGAGCAAGUUUCAGCCAAAGAUGAUGGGGUCACAAAU
Molecule: long non-coding RNA, 289 nt
Filed under: Gallus gallus (chicken)
Lineage: Eukaryota; Metazoa; Chordata; Aves; Galliformes; Phasianidae
Description: long non-coding RNA NONGGAT007287
Source: RNAcentral